CCUGUCCAUCGCUUUCCUCUGGGGCUUUAAUUUCCUUCAUCCGAUGCUCUAUGAGCAAGGGCUUGGAAAAUUCCGGACGGGCGUGAUCGUCUCGCGUCAGAUGAACCCGAAGUCCGGCUGACCUUGCCCACCUGAUUACCCCUGGGUGUUCAGGAUCUCGGCCCCCAGGAUUGCGGUGGACACCU
This 185-nucleotide small RNA is filed under the name Roseateles saccharophilus. RNAcentral describes it as "Pelomonas saccharophila 6S / SsrS RNA". The record is from RNAcentral. Lineage: Bacteria; Pseudomonadati; Pseudomonadota; Betaproteobacteria; Burkholderiales; Sphaerotilaceae.